AUGAUGGUGUUGCCGACCUCUAGGAUGUGCCUUUGGUCCAGCUCCAAGUAUCCCAACAAGUGCAGCUUGGGGGCAUGGCCAAUCUUCACCUUGUUGCAGGUGCCAUUAGGGGUACAACCUUCGGACUGGAUGAGCCGCUCAAGGCGUGGGGCAUUCACCACGAAGAUUUCUUCAAGGAAGCACACGAUGAUCUGCACGCACCGGAGGCUUUGGCUGACAAGGCGGAGGCAAAGCCUGAAGAGAUUCCCUUCGAGACAGAGCGUCUCCAGCACGGGGCUCCUGUCGAGGACGAAGUCCAAGUCCCUGCUCUCCAUGAUGACAUUGCAGAGCCCGAGCUCACAGAGGUUGCGGAAACAGGUGGCGCUCGGGAGGCCGGCCGUGUCGGGGAACUUCCAGGGGCCGAGGUAG
RNAcentral lists this ribosomal RNA (408 nucleotides) under Triticum aestivum (bread wheat). Its description in RNAcentral is "partial small subunit ribosomal RNA". The record is from RNAcentral. Lineage: Eukaryota; Viridiplantae; Streptophyta; Magnoliopsida; Poales; Poaceae.